CCUACGGGUGACUGCAGUGAGGAAUAUUGGUCAAUGGACGAGAGUCUGAACCAGCCAAGUAGCGUGAGGGAUGACUGCCCUAUGGAUUGUAAACUUCUUUUGUCUGGGAGUAAAGUCUCCCACGUGUGGGUGUUUGUGUGUACCUGAUGAAUAAGCAUCGGCUAACUCCGUGCCAGCAGCCGCGGUAAUACGGAGGAUGCGAGCGUUAUCCGGAUUUAUUGGGUUUAAAGGGUGCGUAGGCGGGUUUUUAAGUCAGCGGUAAAAACGUGGAGCUCAACUCCGUCCAGCCGUUGAAACUGGUGGUCUUGAGUGGGCGAGAAGAAGGCGGAAUGCGUGGUGUAGCGGUGAAAUGCAUAGAUAUCACGCAGAACCCCGAUUGCGAAGGCAGCAUUCCGGCGCCCGACUGACGCUGAGGCACGAAAGUGUGGGUAUCGAACAGGAUUAGAUACCCGAGUAGUC
This 459-nucleotide ribosomal RNA is filed under the name uncultured bacterium. Its description in RNAcentral is "partial 16S ribosomal RNA". It matches the Rfam family "Bacterial small subunit ribosomal RNA", at positions 338 to 795 of the family's 1533-position model. The record is from RNAcentral.